CUAUAGCACCGGUUCUUGAAAACCGGUGCCAAAAAAAAAUGGGCGGGAUUGGAAAAUAGGGAGUUGCUCAUUUAAUUAGCACCGGUUCAAACCGGUGCCAACCUUAAAAAAAAAUAAAAAAAUAAAAAAAACAAAGAAAGCAAUAGAGUUGGCACCAGUUCGCCUUAAACCGGUGCCAACUAUAAUAAUUAGCACCGGUUUGAACCGGUGCCAUUUAAAAAAACAAAACCCGGAUUAAGGCGCGUCAUUCUUCAUUUCCUUGCUCUUUCCUCUUCGUUCUCAUCUGAUCUGCCCCUCUCUCUCCUCCAUUGUAGCGUACUCGAAUUUCUACCAUUGAAGGGGAUUCUGAGCUUUCCUAACACUCCGUCUCUCUCCUUCGAUCUCCUUCUCCAUUAAAGGCCUCUAUUCCUAUUUCCUAAGUCUCUGAGUUAUUUCAUUGAAGCGCACUCAAUGUUCUCCAUUGAAGCGUUCUCCGUUGAAUCUAAUUCUUGUAUCCCCCAUUGAAGCAGCUUCUAAGGAUGCCUCUGGGAUUGAUACUCGGACUUGCAAGGUCAAUGCACAGGAAGCGUACAUCAUCACUUGAUAUCCUUUCUUCAAAGAGGGCGCCAAGGAAUUACUACAAGGGAAAGAAUUGCAAGCCCACUGGAUUUCACACCCGCAAAGGUGGCUAUGUUGGGGUGCAAGAAAAGCUGCCUAACUAUGUAGUACCUGAUCUUACCCAUUCCAAGUAGUAGCAGAAAGGAAGUAAGAAGUAAGGAAACAAUCCAGGAAAAUCUUGUACACUCGAGCAGGAUCGAUCCAUCAAGGGUUGUCCAGCUGUCUUGGCAACCAAGGUCAGGGUCUUUGUUUAUAAAGAUUUAAUCUCUGAAGAGGAUUGUGACCAUCUCAUCUCUCUGGCGCAGGGACAGAAAGAAGGUACCAACUCUGUGGUCAGUGACACCUAAGGACUGAGUACAAGAUCAUUAGUCACUCUUGAUUUGAAAGAUUCAACUUAUUGAGUUUCUAGUGUCAGACUACUUAGUCACUUGGUCAAAAGAUGAAGGUUUUGAGAUUAGUAUGUAUUUAACCUUGUUGUUUGGACUCCAUAAAAUCAUUUUUUUUGCAGUUAGAUUUCAAAUAUUAACAGAAAAUACGGAUAUUAGUGCAAAAAAUGGCUUUACUUUUGAAAUUGGCUCUUAUUACAAGGAACAUAGUUGGUUACGCCUUGAACCAGUAUAAUUAAGUGCACUGCUGUGCAAUAACAAAAUAUUUAUUGCAUGUUUCAGUGAAACUGUCGCAGAUUGAUGUGAAAGUUUAAUGUCAUUGUAGGGUUGUUUGAAGAAUGGCUGAUUUCAUUUCUUCAUGCUCGUAAAACAUUGCAAUCAAUGGAGAAGAGGUCUGGGCUUUAUUCGCUUUAUUUGGACCGAGUAAAUGGAGAGUUGGCUAAACAGGUUGGCCAAGUAUUGUCUCAGGACAGCAUGUUGCCGUCUUCAGACAGGGGUGGCAAAUAUGUAACUUUAUAUAUAUGCAAUGCAAACAUUUUUUUUGGACGAAAAUUGUAAUAU
Long non-coding RNA from Chenopodium quinoa (quinoa), 1544 nucleotides. RefSeq lists it as uncharacterized. The transcript has 7 exons. NCBI's taxonomy places the organism in Eukaryota, Viridiplantae, Streptophyta, Magnoliopsida, Caryophyllales, Amaranthaceae. The record is from RefSeq and is a predicted model, not a curated record.